ACGGCGACAGCGCAUGCGUGACGACGUCGGCAUAGCAACAGCGCGUCAGCGCGCCUGCGCCUGUGCUCGUUGCCCGAGCGGCGCCAGCCGUGCCGUCAUCACCCCGCGCCCCGAGGAAGAGGCGGCCGUGCCGAAGUCGAGCUGCUCUCCGCACUGCUGCAGCGCCGCCGGGCAACCCCGGGGCUCCGAGCGCCGCCUCCGCUUCUGCAAGUGGCUGUUCUGGGGGAGGCCUGAAGGGGUCCCCUCCGCGGGCGCCGCGAGCCGCCCUGCGUUGGCCCCGCGGGGCCUCUGUGGCACUCAGGGCUUCUGUUGGACGGCGGGAUGUUCCCUGUGCCUCCUCCCCUCCCAGGGGUACCUCGUUGCCCCACCCCACGCCCCCAUUCUGACCCCUAGGCUCCCCUAUCUGUGCCCCCCCCCCCCCGUCCUCCCGUCCCCGUUUCUGACCCCUACAAUACACUGUCGUCCCCCAUGAGUCUUUGUUUUGUGACUUACUUAGAGAGAAAGAGGCGUCGUUAUUUGAGAGAACGGGCCGUGGUGGAGAUGUUACACGACCCCACGUUUAUUCCUCAGAAUUCUGAUCCAAAUUCCAGUCCAAACCAAGGCCAUGAUCCUGAGAGAGUCAGGCGUACACCAAGUAUGUGGCAUAUGUGCACAAGGUCUGCACCAGCCCCUGUGAAAGUAACUGAAAGACUGGAUAGAGUAGAGAGUAAUCAGGAAGGUAGGAUGGAGGAACUGUCUGCUGUGCUUCAUCGUGAUGAGCCCUGUGAACCCGUGGUGAGAUGGGACACAGCUGAUGAGGAUCAGGAUGAUCAAAACAGCCUGCUGGAGGGGCUGAUCAAACUGGUUUCCUCCCAGCCUGCAUCAUCCAGUGUCUCAGCUGUUAAGACGUCCUCCUGGCUUGCGGAAUCAAACUCUAUAAUCCAGAGAUGGGUUAUAAAGCAGG
This is a non-coding RNA of Coturnix japonica (Japanese quail), 943 nucleotides long. Lineage: Eukaryota; Metazoa; Chordata; Aves; Galliformes; Phasianidae. The record is from RefSeq and is a predicted model, not a curated record.